Molecule: long non-coding RNA, 403 nt
Filed under: Elaeis guineensis (African oil palm)
Lineage: Eukaryota; Viridiplantae; Streptophyta; Magnoliopsida; Arecales; Arecaceae
Description: long non-coding RNA (EGUI_LNC045828)
Source: RNAcentral
UGGCCGAAUAGGAGAAGAAGGUGGAUGGUGUUUAGUGGCCGGAGGACUGAUGGUGGGCAUUAGGGUAUGGUCGGUGAUGGGUGGCAGUGGUCGAUAGUCAGUGGUAGUGAUUGGCUACACGAAAAUCAUAAAAAAAGGCCUAGAAAUAGGGGAUCUAAGGCUUUUCUUUAUUUUUGUCUGUCGGCCAUUCGCUGGCAACCAUGCGCUUACUAUGGAGGGUCAUGGGGAGGUCAAGGUACGUGUCCUAGGGCUCAACUUCAAGGGGUGAUAAUGUCGGCCAUUGGAAAAAGUGAAAGAAAGGUAAGAAAAAUAGGAUAUUUCUUUAUGAUAGAUUUUCAGCAAAGCUAGUGGUCGAUGGCAAUGCCCAAGUCCAAGAGAUGAUGGGAAAGAUAGAGAGAAGGUG